Misgurnus anguillicaudatus (oriental weatherfish) is the source of this 1248-nucleotide non-coding RNA. Lineage: Eukaryota; Metazoa; Chordata; Actinopteri; Cypriniformes; Cobitidae. The record is from RefSeq and is a predicted model, not a curated record.
UUUAGGCAUUGUCUGUGUUUAGUGUGACCUCUCUUGGCACUAAACACAUCUUGAGCGUUUUUGAGCAGAAUGAACUAAAAAGACAAAUUUCUUUAAAAUUAGAAAUAGGAUUUAAUUUUAUUUAGGUUUAAGGGCGCACCCACAUUAUCCAAACCAAACCAUGCCCCAGCUGUACUUUUAUCGAUCCGAGCCCGGGCACGCUUUCGACAUUAAGAUGUGGUUGUUUUGAAAAAAGCAGGAAGUAAAGCACUCUCUUAACACCAGUGCUUUAAGUGGGCCGGAACGCGCCGGUACUCAGUACCGCCACUUCUAAAAAUAGCUCUUGAGCGUACCACCACCUCUCCCUGAGCCCAGAACGUGCUUUUAGCGUACCGGAACGCUCAUUUGCACCUCUGUUUAAAUCAGAGGUUUUAAUCCUUUUGGCUGCGCUGCCGCUUUUCAGAGCGCUCUUCACAAUGUACACUUCCUAAUUCGUCCCACCGAGAGCAGAGACUACAUUACCCAUACACCCUUGAGUUUACAAGUUAAAAGCGCAUGCAUCGCCUUUGCUGUCAGUCAGCCUCAACGUGGUGUGGAGAGGUGUGACUCACCAUACCCGUCAAGUAUCCCGUAUUUUACCCUUCUUUCCCGCCGUCCUCCUGUAUUAGUAUUUUCCCUUAAAUCUCCCGUAUUUUAUCCUCCGUAAUUUCGCACGCAAAGGUUGUGAUCUAUAAAAAGAUCCUAAAGAUCGCUAAAGAUACACUGAUUCCACUAAUCCACUUCGUGUUUUCCCGCCCGCCCCGCAGCAUCUCUGUGUGCACUCUCUGCCUGGACGACAGUUUCUGAAGUUCGUUGCAUUAACAGGCAAAAAAUACAAAAAACACAAAUGCCUUCACAAAAUAAAGACAGAGAACGGAAAGGGAGGCUGCUUCUAAAGGCAGUUCAACAUUGCAAACAUGGAUUCAAAGAUCCAUCAAGCCAGCAGGUCGUCUGUUGACUGCUGAAUAUAAAACCCCUUCAAUAUAGAAGUCCAGUCAGCAAAAAAAAGAAAAAAAAAGAAAAAUAGAGUACCGGCACUUCUUUGGACCACUUAAAGCACUCUCUUAACACUGGAACCCAUCGUAAUGCUGAGUCUGUGUUUUUUAUUCGGAGUCAUUUGGUGCGCGAUGAUAGACAGCCUUCUCACAUGUCAUCGUAUUGCUUAGUUGAUCUGUCACGUGUGCAGCUCGUAUAUUCACGUAACCCUGCUGCGCGCAUCAAAAGGUUUUU